RNAcentral lists this ribosomal RNA (1465 nucleotides) under uncultured bacterium. RNAcentral's name for it is "bacterial SSU rRNA". It matches the Rfam family "Bacterial small subunit ribosomal RNA". The record is from RNAcentral.
AUUGAACGCUGGCGGCAGGCCUAACACAUGCAAGUCGGACGGUAGCACAGAGGAGCUUGCUCCUUGGGUGACGAGUGGCGGACGGGUGAGUAAUGUCUGGGGAUCUGCCCGAUAGAGGGGGAUAACCACUGGAAACGGUGGCUAAUACCGCAUAACGUCGCAAGACCAAAGAGGGGGACCUUCGGGCCUCUCACUAUCGGAUGAACCCAGAUGGGAUUAGCUAGUAGGCGGGGUAAUGGCCCACCUAGGCGACGAUCCCUAGCUGGUCUGAGAGGAUGACCAGCCACACUGGAACUGAGACACGGUCCAGACUCCUACGGGAGGCAGCAGUGGGGAAUAUUGCACAAUGGGCGCAAGCCUGAUGCAGCCAUGCCGCGUGUAUGAAGAAGGCCUUCGGGUUGUAAAGUACUUUCAGCGGGGAGGAAGGCGACGGGGUUAAUAACCCUGUCGAUUGACGUUACCCGCAGAAGAAGCACCGGCUAACUCCGUGCCAGCAGCCGCGGUAAUACGGAGGGUGCAAGCGUUAAUCGGAAUUACUGGGCGUAAAGCGCACGCAGGCGGUCUGUUAAGUCAGAUGUGAAAUCCCCGGGCUUAACCUUGGGAACUGCAUUUGAAGCUGGCAGGCUUGAGUCUUGUAGAGGGGGGUAGAAUUCCAGGUGUAGCGGUGAAAUGCGUAGAGAUCUGGAGGAAUACCGGUGGCGAAGGCGGCCCCCUGGACAAAGACUGACGCUCAGGUGCGAAAGCGUGGGGAGCAAACAGGAUUAGAUACCCUGGUAGUCCACGCCGUAAACGAUGUCGACUUGGAGGUUGUUCCCUUGAGGAGUGGCUUCCGGAGCUAACGCGUUAAGUCGACCGCCUGGGGAGUACGGCCGCAAGGUUAAAACUCAAAUGAAUUGACGGGGGCCCGCACAAGCGGUGGAGCAUGUGGUUUAAUUCGAUGCAACGCGAAGAACCUUACCUACUCUUGACAUCCACGGAAUUUGGCAGAGAUGCCUUAGUGCCUUCGGGAACCGUGAGACAGGUGCUGCAUGGCUGUCGUCAGCUCGUGUUGUGAAAUGUUGGGUUAAGUCCCGCAACGAGCGCAACCCUUAUCCUUUGUUGCCAGCGAUUCGGUCGGGAACUCAAAGGAGACUGCCGGUGAUAAACCGGAGGAAGGUGGGGAUGACGUCAAGUCAUCAUAGCCCUUACGAGUAGGGCUACACACGUGCUACAAUGGCGCAUACAAAGAGAAGCGACCUCGCGAGAGCAAGCGGACCUCACAAAGUGCGUCGUAGUCCGGAUCGGAGUCUGCAACUCGACUCCGUGAAGUCGGAAUCGCUAGUAAUCGUGGAUCAGAAUGCCACGGUGAAUACGUUCCCGGGCCUUGUACACACCGCCCGUCACACCAUGGGAGUGGGUUGCAAAAGAAGUAGGUAGCUUAACCUUCGGGAGGGCGCUUACCACUUUGUGAUUCAUGACUGGGGUG